UUGUCAUCGCGGGUAUUAUG
This 20-nucleotide microRNA is filed under the name Drosophila pseudoobscura pseudoobscura. RNAcentral's name for it is "mir-959-RB". The record is from RNAcentral. Lineage: Eukaryota; Metazoa; Arthropoda; Insecta; Diptera; Drosophilidae.